This 431-nucleotide ribosomal RNA is filed under the name uncultured bacterium. Its description in RNAcentral is "partial 16S ribosomal RNA". It matches the Rfam family "Bacterial small subunit ribosomal RNA", at positions 29 to 507 of the family's 1533-position model. The record is from RNAcentral.
AACGAACGCUGGCGGCAGGCUUAACACAUGCAAGUCGAGCGCCCCGCAAGGGGAGCGGCAGACGGGUGCGUAACGCGUGGGAACGUACCUUUUGGUUCGGAACAACUCCGGGAAACUGGAGCUAAUACCGGAUAAGCCCUAACGUGGAAAGAUUUAUCGCCGAAAGAUCGGCCCGCGUCUGAUUAGCUAGUUGGUGAGGUAACGGCUCACCAAGGCGACGAUCAGUAGCUGGUCUGAGAGGAUGAUCAGCCACACUGGGACUGAGACACGGCCCAGACUCCUACGGGAGGCAGCAGUGGGGAAUAUUGGACAAUGGGCGCAAGCCUGAUCCAGCCAUGCCGCGUGAGUGAUGAAGGCCUUAGGGUUGUAAAGCUCUUUUGUCCGGGAAGAUAAUGACUGUACCGGAAGAAUAAGCCCCGGCUAACUUCGUG